RNAcentral lists this long non-coding RNA (2418 nucleotides) under Helianthus annuus (common sunflower). RNAcentral's name for it is "hypothetical non coding rna". Lineage: Eukaryota; Viridiplantae; Streptophyta; Magnoliopsida; Asterales; Asteraceae. The record is from RNAcentral.
ACAAGGGACAGGAUCAGGCUUACAGAGAAGGUGAAAACAAGAUAUAUAUAUAUAUAUAUAUAUAUAUAUAUGUGUGUGUGUGCAGCAGCACAGGGCAGCAGCAGACGAAGCAGUACGGAUAGUUUUAGUCCCUGCAAAUUAAGAGUCAUCAAUGCGUUUCUACCAUCCAUCACAAGCCCUUCUAAAUGCUAAAUCCGCAUAGAACAAAUACAAUUAAGGUAUCCAGAAUGAAGUUGCAGCACUCAGUACUAUACCAGGAGGUCUGCCUGGGUCAUCCAUACUCUUUCGAGUCAUAACGCGAACAUCAUCAGCCCCACUCCCAGACAAAGUUGUCCAUGUGUGUGCGGUUGAAGCUCCAACACCGCUGCAAAAGCUCAGAACCAUUCUCUCAGCCAGCUUCAACAUACUCUUUCUCCCUUCUGGAGUGGUUAUUACUGUGAAAUGAAACAAACCCUUUGUUAAAUAAUCAUGUAUUUAUCAAAUAUAUUCGUAUUAUAUGUGUUAAUCAGACUACUAUUAAGGUAGAAAUCCUAACUAUUACUUUGUUAAUACUUACCUCCAACAUCUCCUGAAGGAAUAUUGUUAGCCAUUACGCUUGCAAGCCGUUCACAUUGCCUAUCUAAAGUUGCCACCCAUCGCUUUGCCCCAAACGCCAGACCAGAGUUCACCAGUAACUUAUAGAUAUUGUGAACAGCUCUAUCAUCAAAUUCAACAUGUUCAACCCAUGUUACCUACAAAACCGAAAAACAUGCAUGAUUGAAUACAAUUUUCUGAUUUAAGAAAUCUUACGAAGGUGUAAAUCUCUUUCAGGUUUUCUACCUUGGAAUAUCCAUUGGGUUGUUCUUGAAUUAAACAACCAGAGGGCCUUCUUCUAGAUCUUGAAACUGAAGAAGGGCGCAAAUUGUCCAAAGACACAUCAACUACAGCCCAAGUACCAUCAGCAUGUUGUUUACAAUACCUAACAAAGUAGUUUUCUCGGGUUGGAACCAGUGGUGAAGGAACUUGAAACUCAGCUGACAUCUGAUAUAUUAUAUAUCGAUAUGUUAAACUUAUACAUGAUCAUACAAAACUAGAUUUAUAGUUAUGGUGUACAACUCCUAGCUUACCACUUGAAGAGCACCAUUGUAAUUGCCAGCAACACCGGUUGAAAGAACUUCCAAGGUCAUUGCUCUUGAAACAAUGCCAGAAAACACAUUUGACCAUUGAUUCUGAAAAGCCAUUGUGGGGUUCAAGUAAUCAGAUCAUAAUCAAUACAGCAAAUCAAUAGAUCCUACAAAUUACUUUUUAGAUCAAAUUUACACACUUAAAAAUUUGAACAUUUUUUAACAAGGUAUGUGUUUGAAGAAUUUUAACAUGCGUUGUACAUGAAGACUCUAAAUAAAACUUGACACUCAAAGUGUACAAAAAAUUAAAAACGUGUUCAAGUGUAAAAACUUCAUGUUUUAAGCCAUUCUUUUUCCAAUCUUCAUUCAUAAAUGUACAUGUCUUCACAUUCUGAAACAAAAACACUUAAAUCAUGGUACGUAUGUGAAAACUUUACAAGUGUGAUGUCCUUCAUCCAGAUGUAAGUUUAAGCUAAUUUAUAUAUACACUAAAAAGUGUGAGACAAAUUUAUUAGUCUUUUGUGUUUGUAUAAACCAUGACCAAAUAUUGUAUUUGUUGCACAAAAAAGAAAAGGGAUAUUCUGUAGACAUAUACCACAUCCAUUAGAAGUUCAACUAGAGUGAUAUGAUUCAUGAUGACAACUGCGGAUUCUCUUGAAGCCUCAGAUUUUAAUCCCAACUGUUUUGGACCCAUCCCACGAGGAAACAUCCUCAAGUACUCAUCUUCACUCAAGGUCUCGGAUGAGUUUUCCGAGCUUGGAAUCCACAAGGGUUCAUUAACCUGAGCCAUUCUGAUUAGCUCCUCCAUUGCUGCAACCGCCAGCUCUAUUAUGAUUGGCUUGUCUGCCUCGGUUGGUCCUGACACGGACCGGAGAAGGUCAUUUGCCCCAAACAUCUCUCCUACCAUCCCUUGUUGUGGACUAAAACUAGUAACACCUUGAUCAAGUGAUCGAGUUGGUCCAUGAGGCGACAUAUUCGGAUAAUUCAACAUUGGCUUGCCAACAUACUUUGCAGCGAUUCCAGAUAUCCUAUCAAUCUUUUGGAAAACAACAAAUAAAUCAACAAUUUCUUAGACAUGUUGAAUAUACUAUACUAACAAAAAUAUAUAAAGGAUAUUGAAUUCAACUUACCUCUUCACGUAGCCUUGCAUUUUCUAUUCUCAAUUGUUGUUCAUCAAAAGACAUCUCUCCAAUAGCAGCAGGACCACCACAGUUUGGACAAGUGGCAUUGGCAAGGGCUUCUUUGUAACGUAUAUUUUCGGAUCGAAGCUUUUCAUUUUCAUUCCUCAGUUGUGUAUUCUCAUGGCGUUCGUGUU